Molecule: long non-coding RNA, 1615 nt
Organism: Oncorhynchus keta (chum salmon)
Lineage: Eukaryota; Metazoa; Chordata; Actinopteri; Salmoniformes; Salmonidae
Exons: 3
Source: RefSeq, a predicted model, not a curated record
UUACAGGAUGUGUUGCUGAUCCACAGGUUGAACCAAUAGAAACAGUAUUUAACAGGAUGUCCUGUUGAUCCACAGGUUGAACCAAUAGAAACAGUAUUUAACAGGAUGUGUUGUUGAUCCACAGGUUGAACCAAUAGAAACAGUAUUUAACAGGAUGUCCUGUUGAUCCACAGGUUGAACCAAUAGAAACAGUAUUUAACAGGAUGUGUUGUUGAUCCACAGGUUGAACCAAUAGAAACAGUAUUUAACAGGAUGUCCUGUUGAUCCACAGGUUGAACCAAUAGAAACAGUAUUUAACAGGAUGUGUUGCUGAUCCACAGGUUGAACCAAUAGAAACAGUAUUUAACAGGAUGUCCUGUUGAUCCACAGGUUGAACCAAUAGAAACAGUAUUUUAUAGGAUGUGUUGUUGAUCCACAGGUUGAACCAAUAGAAACAGUAUUUAACAGGAUGUGUUGUUGAUCCACAGGUUGAACCAAUAGAAACAGUAUUUAACAGGAUGUGUUGUUGAUCCACAGGUUGAACCAAUAGAAACAGUAUUUUACAGGAUGUGUUGUUGAUCCACAGGUUGAACCAAUAGAAACAGUAUUUUACAGGAUGUGUUGUUGAUCCACAGGUUGAACCAAUAGAAACAGUAUUUAACAGGAUGUGUUGUUGAUCCACAGGUUGAACCAAUAGAAACAGUAUUUAACAGGAUGUGUUGUUGAUCCACAGGUUGAACCAAUAGAAACAGUAUUUUACAGGAUGUGUUGCUGAUCCACAGGUUGAACCAAUAGAAACAGUAUUUAACAGGAUGUCCUGUUGAUCCACAGGUUGAACCAAUAGAAACAGUAGUUUACAGGAUGUGUUGUUGAUCCACAGGUUGAACCAAUAGAAACAGUAUUUAACAGGAUGUGUUGUUGAUCCACAGGUUGAACCAAUAGAAACAGUAUUUUACAGGAUGUGUUGUUGAUCCACAGGUUGAACCAAUAGAAACAGUAUUUAACAGCAUGUCCUGUUGAUCCACAGGUUGAACCAAUAGAAACAGUAUUUUACAGGAUGUGUUGUUGAUCCACAGGUUGAACCAAUAGAAACAGUAGUUUAUAGGAUGUGUUGCUACAGUUGUUUUGUGGUCCAUGAGUGAGGGUGUUGAUGUACUGAUCUCUCUGGUCACCAUAGCAACACCCACCUGUAGUACGCGCUCCAGCAGGUAUAUCUCUCUGGUCACCCCCAAAACCAAUUCUUUCUUUGGCCGCCUCUCCUUCCAGUUCUCUGCUGCCAAUGGCUGGAACGAACUACAAAAAUCUCUGAAACUGGAAACACUUAUCUCCCUCACUAGCUUUAAGCACCAACUGUCAGAGCAGCUCACAGAUACCUGCACCUGCACAUAGCCCAUCUAUAAUUUAGCCCAAACAACUACCUCUCCCCCUACUGUAUUUAUUUAUUUAUUUUGCUCCUUUGCACCCCAUUAUUUCUAUUUCUUCUUUGCACAUUCUUCCACUGCAAAACUACCAUUCCAGUGUUUUACUUGCUAUUACAUUUACAUUACAUUUACAUUUAAGUCAUUUAGCAGACGCUCUUAUCCAGAGCGACUUACAAAUUGGUGCAUUCACCUUAUGACAUCCAGUAGAAUAGUCA